RNAcentral lists this long non-coding RNA (996 nucleotides) under Homo sapiens (human). RNAcentral's name for it is "HSALNT0148341". Lineage: Eukaryota; Metazoa; Chordata; Mammalia; Primates; Hominidae. The record is from RNAcentral.
UUUUUUUUUUUUUUUGAGACAGAGUUCGCUCUUAUCACCCAGAUUGGAGUGCAGUGGCGCAAUCUCGGCUCACUGCAACAUCCACCUCCUGGGUUCAAGCAAUUCUCCUGCCUCAGCCUCCUGAGUAGCUGGGAUUACAGGGGUUCAAAACCAGCCUGGCCAACAUGGUGAAACCCCGCCUCUACUAAAAAAUACACAAAUUAGCUGGGCACGGUGGUGAGUGCCUGUAAUCCCAGCUACUCGGUGGGGGCUGAGGCAGGAGAAUUGAUUGAACCCGGGAGGUGGAGAUUGCAGUGAGCUGAGACCGCGCCAUUGCACUCCAGCUUGGGCAACAGAGUGAAACUCCAUCUCUCGGGAAAAAAAAAAAAAAAAAACCAACAACGAAAGAACUUGGGAAAGACUGGACUCUAGAACUCUGGGACUCUGACAGCCAAAGAGCUGGUAAACUGGCUGAGGUCCCAGGGGAGAGCUCUCCCUCAGAGGGGCUGGGGCAGGGCUCUCCUCCAAUUUUAGAUUAGUUCUGACCAGCCCCAUUCUCUGGAGGAAAACUUCAACAUGGAAGCAUCUCCUGAACUGGUACAACUCUGCUGAGGUCUCCCUGAGGCCUGGCCUAACCCAAAGUGCAGCAUCGGCAGAGUGCUGCUCUGCCAGUUGAGAGGGGUGUGGUGGGGCACGGGAGCUGGAUUUUGUAACGCUCUGGGGUCUGAGUUCAGGUUGCCCAAGCCCCACUGGCCAAAAGCAAAGUGGUGAUGUUGUCAAAGCCUACUCACCUGCCACAUCCUAAUCUCAGCUCCUCUCUCUCCCACCCUCAUCCACCUCCCAUAACAUGCUUUAGUCCCACCCUACUGUCAGUUAUUCCUGCAAAGAAUACAACUUACAGCCGGGCGCGGUGGCUCACACCUGCAAUCCCAGCACUUUGGGAGGCCGAGGUGGGUGGAUCACGAGGUCAGGAGAUUGAGACCAUCCUGGCUAACACGGUGAAACCCCAUCUCUACU